AAUUUGUGAUGUGGGCAGCAUCUUAAAAGAUCCUUAAACCCCUCCCAUGCAUCGUACAUGCUUUCAUCAUCAAGCUGCACAAAAGAAGAUAUAUCAUUUCUAAGUUU
Non-coding RNA from Ricinus communis (castor bean), 107 nucleotides. The record is from Rfam. NCBI's taxonomy places the organism in Eukaryota, Viridiplantae, Streptophyta, Magnoliopsida, Malpighiales, Euphorbiaceae.